AGUAAACGUUACCCUGAUUUCCGUGUCCAACUUUUGACCAUUCGUUUUAUUUGAAAAAAUUAUAAAAAAGAUAAGUCACGUAUAAAAUAUUAAUCAUGAUUUAUCAUCUAACAACAAUGAAAAUACUAAUUAUAAAAAAAAUUCAUAUAAGACGGACAGUCAAACGUUGGCACGGAAAUCCAGGGUUUGUCUUUUU
This 196-nucleotide microRNA precursor is filed under the name Oryza meridionalis. Its description in RNAcentral is "MIR812 microRNA precursor family". It matches the Rfam family "MIR812 microRNA precursor family". The record is from Rfam by way of RNAcentral. Lineage: Eukaryota; Viridiplantae; Streptophyta; Magnoliopsida; Poales; Poaceae.